GCGGGAGCGGGAGAACCACCAGCGUAGCGUAGGAGCGUAGGCAGCUUAAUCUAGCCAAACAGUAAGCAGACUACGGUUUCAGUACGAAUCGAGCUAGCAACCUGUUCGGACAGAAGUUUGCCAGCGGUGGUGGAGAAAAAGCAGUUUUCGAUUGAGUCAAGUGGAUGGUGGAGGUGCUCAACUAAUUGAGAAGAAGACACGCCGCAGCAAAGAAAAAGGAAAAUCAGAACAAGCCGCCCCCUUCAGAAGACAAAAGAGCGCGUGGCGCAGCAAUCCAAGUGCUAUUUUCGUGUUUUUCUGUGUGUGUGUGUGUGUGUGUGCCGGGGGAAAUACAAUCAGUGGGGCGAGGAAAAAAGGACACCGUCAAAAGGGACGACGGAACGACGGAAGUGUAAAAGUGGUGUGGUUGAAUACUAGAGACUGACAGAAUGCAACGAUUUGAAGUGCACACGAGCCACGCUGGUACCGUUUUGUUGGUGUUACUCGCGCUUCUAAGCGCCUCCAGUGAUGUGAACACGACGGCCAUUGAAGCCAGCGCCUUUUACGGCCGCAGUUAUCGGGGAGGCAGUGACAGCAAUCGGAUGGUGUUCCCGAACGAAAAGGAACGCUACAACUUGUUCAGCAAGGAUGUCAAACGGGAGGUGGAUGAGUACGACGGUUGCUGCGAUGAUGAUAUUCCCUUGGAGCUUGCGCUGCAACUGGGCAACAUCACCUCGAGCGACGACGUCUUCAAUCUGGUCGAACCGGACUCGAUCGAUCAACGAAUCUUCUCCAAGGAAGGAUUUGGAGAACGAUCAGCCGGAGAAAUACCUACCCCUGCUGGGUGCAAUACUCAGCCAACAAUUGUAAGUCUACGGCCGGAGAAUAACAGCGACCCGCGGCUAAUCUACAGCCCGUCGUGCACCCGAGUACAACGCUGCAGUGGCUGCUGUGUGUCCAAGCGUCUCUCGUGCCAGCCGACGUCGACCAGAACGAGAACCUUUACCGUGAACGUCCUCGAGUACGUGUCCGGUACCAAGACCCGCUUCAAGAGCCGCGAUCUGGCUCUCAUCGAGGAACACGUUGGCUGUGCCUGCCAGUGCCGUGUCAAGGAGGAACACUGCAACAGCCUGCAGCGAUACAACUCCCGCAACUGUCGGUGCGACUGCGCGAACAACGACGAUCGAUCGAAGUGUCUCAAGGAGCAGGAUAUCAAGCAGUGGAAUCCGGAUACCUGCUUGUGUGAGUGCAACGAAGCGAAGGAGUGCACCAGUGGCACCUAUUUCGACCACAACUACUGCAGAUGCUUAAAGACCAGCUUCUAUAGCAUACACUAAAAUCCCCAUUCGAUGCACGUCAAAACAAUCAACCAAUCGCACCAUUCUAGUACUGUGUCACGCAGACCACACACACAAUUACGCGAUUACUACUAAAGUAGUCUUUUGGUUUUACUGAGUAGAUCUUAAAGUUUAUAUGUUUCUGUGUGGUUGGUAGUAUUGAUAGUAGUGUUAACAGUGUUAGGAAAGAGAAGAAGAAGAACGAUCGACGCGAUCGUUACGUUAUAUUAAUUUGAUCAGUUUAUCAUAAUCGCAUAUUUAGCAGCAAGAACGAAGUACUCAAUAGACUGUGCCAAAUAAAACAAACAAACAAAAACUAGCAUUCGCACAUGGCCCAAGGGAUUCCUGCAGAUCGAGCGCCCUGAUAGAUAGUAGACUGGAUUAAGCUAAAGUGUGUUAGUUAAUGUAGACCCCGAUGAUAUUGAUUGUUUGUUUGUGCGUGGACAUACGUGUGUGUGUGCGUACGUGUAUUCUUCAGAGAUUUUUUAUUGGUUCCCUCCGCGGUGCGUUCCUACUCCAGCUCUCCUCCCAGCCGCUGGGGAAACCAAUCCACACAGGACCGGAGAAGAUUAAUCCUGAAACCCGUCCCAUCUGCCCUAACGGCCUCUAUGUCCUCGGCUUAAGCUCACCGCGCUAGCGUGCCAACAGAGCGUUAGUGAGCUACCACGGCUGGCUCCACCCAGUGAUUGGUUUAUCGGCCUACAAAAUGAUAUUCGACAAUGUAUUUUAUUCUUCGUAAAACGGAUACAGCACAAACAUUUUCGAGAUGUAAACUACAGUACAAAUGUAACAAAGGGAAAAGAAGACAAAUUGUCCGCGCAUAACCGAGGACAGCCAAGGGGACACGGCGCCAGACGCCGCCGAUUGAGUGAGAAAGAAAUACGAACGAGCAAAGGGACAUUCCUGGACCGUGGUGGUGAAACGAAAUGCGAACAUUAUUACUCGGGUUAUACAGUGGAAGCAGCUAUUUGUUGAUAUUGUCGGGAGCAACUGGAGUGGGAACAAUGCCAUACCUAUUCAAUAAUGCUCGAGUCGUCAGUGGGAUGAGUGAUCGAACACACGGUUGUUUCAUGAUUUAAAACUAUUUUCUUAAAUUUUAUUACACAGCGGGCAGUCUGUGAACGUUAUAGACUAUUUAUUUCUUUGUAUUAAAAGAGAUUGAGAUAAUAAAGAUAUAUGACUUAGGAUAGAA
Molecule: RNA transcript, 2508 nt
Organism: Toxorhynchites rutilus septentrionalis
Lineage: Eukaryota; Metazoa; Arthropoda; Insecta; Diptera; Culicidae
Gene: Pvf1
Exons: 7
Source: RefSeq, a predicted model, not a curated record